This 484-nucleotide ribosomal RNA is filed under the name uncultured bacterium. RNAcentral describes it as "partial 16S ribosomal RNA". It matches the Rfam family "Bacterial small subunit ribosomal RNA", at positions 28 to 507 of the family's 1533-position model. The record is from RNAcentral.
AUUGAACGCUGGCGGCAUGCUUUACACAUGCAAGUCGAACGGCAGCGCGGGCUUCGGCCUGGCGGCGAGUGGCGCACGGGUGAGUAAUACAUCGGAAUGUGCUCCGUAGGGGGGGAUAGCCCGUCCAAAGCCGGAUUAAUACCGCAUACGACCUGCGGGUGCUAGCGGGUGACGGUAAGGCCUCUCGCUCUGGUAGCGGCCGACGCCGGGCUUGCUAGCUGGUGGGGUAAAGGCUUACUUAGGCGAGGAUCCGCAGGUGGUCUGAGAGGACGAGCAGCCGCACUGGGACUGAGACACGGCCAAGAGUCCUAAGGGAGGCAGCAGUGGGGAAUUUGGGACAAUGGGGGCAACCCUGGUCCAGCCGUGCCGCGUGCGAGAAGAAGGCCUUCGGGUUGUAAACCGCUUUUGUUCGGGAAGAAAUCCUCUGGGCUAAUACCCCGGGGGGAUGACGGUACCGGAAGAAUAAGCACCGGCUAACUACGUG